CUUAGAAAAAUCUAGAAAAUCCUGGAAAAACCCUAAAAAUCCCUCUAGUCGAUGAAAAAUGCGAGGAAGGAAGAGAAGCAAACAUCUUGCUGGCACUGGACUCUGUUUUCGAAGGAGGGGAGCUUCUAAAGCGUACAAGAAAAGGAGAUCUUCACUUGAAGCAAGUAUCUUUCAAUAUGAAUUCAAAUUUACAGGUUAUAGCAAAAAUGAAGAGCAAGCACAUGGCAGGAACAUUCACCAAAAAGAAGAAAUGUAUAGUCACCGGAGUCUGCAGUGAUGUCCAAGCUUGGCCGGGAAGAGAGAAGGAAGACUAAAUAGAAAAGAGGGCAUAUUUCGGAAUUAAAACUGCAGAAAGGAUAAUAGAGUUUGAAUGUGAGAGUAAAAGAGAUAAACAGUUCUGGCUUGAUGGGAUUCAGUAUAUGUUGAAUUGCCAUGCCAAAGCGGCAUAAAUAUAAACAGAAAAUAAGAAAAAAUUAAAAUGGCUGAUAUGGGGUUGCUUUUUCUACUUCUCUUUUACUUUUACUUUGUGAGAUGCUUAUAAAGAUGUACAUUUGAUAGAAUAACUGUAAGAUUUCGCCAAGGACAUUGAUAGAGUACAAUGAUUUCAAUGAAGAGGCAUAGGAU
Arachis ipaensis is the source of this 624-nucleotide non-coding RNA. NCBI's taxonomy places the organism in Eukaryota, Viridiplantae, Streptophyta, Magnoliopsida, Fabales, Fabaceae. The record is from RefSeq and is a predicted model, not a curated record.